This 436-nucleotide ribosomal RNA is filed under the name uncultured Enterobacter sp. Its description in RNAcentral is "bacterial SSU rRNA". It matches the Rfam family "Bacterial small subunit ribosomal RNA", at positions 975 to 1412 of the family's 1533-position model. Lineage: Bacteria; Pseudomonadati; Pseudomonadota; Gammaproteobacteria; Enterobacterales; Enterobacteriaceae. The record is from RNAcentral.
CUACUUUUGACAUCCAGAGAACUUAGCAGAGAUGCUUUGGUGCCUUCGGGAACUCUGAGACAGGUGCUGCAUGGUUGUCGUCAGCUCGUGUCGUGAGAUGUUGGGUUAAGUCCCGCAACGAGCGCAACCCUUAUCCUUUGUUGCCAGCGGUUGGGCCGGGAACUCAAAGGAGACUGCCAGUGAUAAACUGGAGGAAGGUGGGGAUGACGUCAAGUCAUCAUGGCCCUUACGAGUAGGGCUACACACGUGCUACAAUGGCGCAUACAAAGAGAAGCGACCUCGCGAGAGCAAGCGGACCUCAUAAAGUGCGUCGUAGUCCGGAUUGGAGUCUGCAACUCGACUCCAUGAAGUCGGAAUCGCUAGUAAUCGUGGAUCAGAAUGCCACGGUGAAUACGUUCCCGGGUCUUGUACACACGCACGUCACACCAUGGGAGUG